This 45-nucleotide non-coding RNA is filed under the name Schistosoma haematobium. Lineage: Eukaryota; Metazoa; Platyhelminthes; Trematoda; Strigeidida; Schistosomatidae. The record is from RNAcentral.
ACCCGGCUGAAGAGCCCUAAAUAGGACGAAACGAGCGUCCUCGAU